CCUGGCUCAGGAUGAACGCUGGCGGCGUGCCUAAUACAUGCAAGUCGAGCGAAUGGAUUGAGAGCUUGCUCUCAAGAAGUUAGCGGCGGACGGGUGAGUAACACGUGGGUAACCUGCCCAUAAGACUGGGAUAACUCCGGGAAACCGGGGCUAAUACCGGAUAACAUUUUGAACUGCAUGGUUCGAAAUUGAAAGGCGGCUUCGGCUGUCACUUAUGGAUGGACCCGCGUCGCAUUAGCUAGUUGGUGAGGUAACGGCUCACCAAGGCAACGAUGCGUAGCCGACCUGAGAGGGUGAUCGGCCACACUGGGACUGAGACACGGCCCAGACUCCUACGGGAGGCAGCAGUAGGGAAUCUUCCGCAAUGGACGAAAGUCUGACGGAGCAACGCCGCGUGAGUGAUGAAGGCUUUCGGGUCGUAAAACUCUGUUGUUAGGGAAGAACAAGUGCUAGUUGAAUAAGCUGGCACCUUGACGGUACCUAACCAGAAAGCCACGGCU
Molecule: ribosomal RNA, 500 nt
Filed under: Bacillus thuringiensis
Lineage: Bacteria; Bacillati; Bacillota; Bacilli; Caryophanales; Bacillaceae
Description: bacterial SSU rRNA
Rfam family: Bacterial small subunit ribosomal RNA
Source: RNAcentral